AUCCAGCUCACGAGUCCCAAAUAGGACGAAAUGCGCAUCCUGGAU
RNAcentral lists this non-coding RNA (45 nucleotides) under Schistosoma curassoni. Lineage: Eukaryota; Metazoa; Platyhelminthes; Trematoda; Strigeidida; Schistosomatidae. The record is from RNAcentral.